Molecule: unclassified non-coding RNA, 665 nt
Filed under: Hevea brasiliensis (rubber tree)
Lineage: Eukaryota; Viridiplantae; Streptophyta; Magnoliopsida; Malpighiales; Euphorbiaceae
Source: RNAcentral
UGAUAUGCUCUAGGGCAUACUACAAACACAUUUAUGGUGUCACUCUGCUUCAGUAGUUAUAUUGUUGAUGAGGUGUAUUUGAGCUUUAGAUAUUGUAGGUUCCCCUUUUUCAUUGUAUAUCUUCAUAUCUAUAGUUCAUAGUUUAUCCACUACUCAUUCCUAGGUAGCAUAGAAACUGUUAUCAUUAACUCUUCUAAAUGCUCAAUAUCAUAUGAACUCAAUUAUACUAAUGUGAUAGAUAGUGAUAUAUUCAAAGGUGCUUAUUUCAUGUUGUUUCACUUUUUUUCUUCUAUUAAGUAAAAUAAUUGUUUAUCUUUCUUUAGAGAACAACUCUUUGUUGAGGAUUAAGGUUGUACUUUUUAGCUUCACUAUUCAUAGCCUUGUGCUUAGCCAGAUUUUGUGUACUUUUUAACUAUAGGUAGUUAUGAUGAUUUAAAAGAAUAGAUCUUCAGCUGUUUAUGCAAACCCAUUUAUGGUAUUGGCUUGCUUGUGGAGAAAGUGUCAAUUUCAUUCUUUCCCUAAAAGUUGGGCAAUCAACCUCUUUGUAAAACAUUUUCCCAUCACAUUUUGCAUAAGUUGCCAUACCAUACUACAACUCCAAACUAACCCAACUUCACUCUGGCUUGGUUACUAAACUUGCAGGUUUAAAAGAUUGACAGGUCGGA